UUAUUAUUAUUUCAAUMAAUAUCUUAUCAGAGAGCACACAAUGUUUCAAUGUGUCACUGUUUGAUUAAAGGUCAGUACCCUGUCUAGCCUGCCAGAAGAUUGAGAGGGUGAAGACUGUGCCGCCGGAGUUGAAGCCCAUCAGUUGUUUCACCAUGGCACAGGAUAGGAAAGUGUCCUAAUUAAAAUGUUGUAAUGGUUUAUUUAUUUGACGACAUUAACGUUCAAUAUUAUAGAAUGUGUGUGUGUGUGUCAGUAUCCUUACAAAUAUGAAAAUCUACAUACUGUAUGACACAGAUACGGGCUGGAACAAGGUACAGAUGUUAUAUGUUAUAUUCACCAAUGGUUUGUUUUAUUUAUUUUUUACAAUUCGUUUUUGUUUUUCCAUGGUACGUAAUCAGACAUAUUUCAAUAUCUUAGAUUGUCAAUAGAUGACAUUUUCCUACCCCCUCCUCCAGGUUUGGUGAAUGGACCAACCAUACCCUCAAAACUGCUGUGGGAAAAUCCCUUGAUACCAGGAAGUGUGGGAGAACAACCUGAAGGUAUUCUCUUUGCACACAACAGCAGCAUCUAGGCCGAGUACGGACGGGAACCGCAGCUGUUGACUGAGGCAAACAAUACAAUUGUUUAUACAAUUAUUGCAUAUACUGUAGUCUUAUAAAUUUGUGAUUMACUUAUUGUUGUUGUUAGUCUAUUGCUGUUUUUGUAUAAUGUACAUUCAGAUUCCUGAAACCCCACCUGAUGUGAUGGAAGUUGUCGAACCAGAUCACAGUGCUUUCGAGGACCAACUUCAGGCACGGACUGAGAAGGAUGUGGAGGUUUUUGACCAGUUGAGACUGAACAUGGACAAGGCGCAGGAGAAACAGAAGGAGAGCUACCGGAGCAGAAUCAAGAAGGGGAGCAAGUGCUACGACAUCCGGGCGAAUUACUUGGUUUGAAGGAAGGAUGAAAGGAAGGGUUACCUCGGUGGCCAACAAUCUUCUCCAGUUGGAGCAGUGGGACGGUCGACCACUGGAAACACUGACGCCAUACACUUCAGUGAAGCCCAAUAGACAAAGCAUGUUAAGCUUUGGUUGACAUUUGAGAAAGCAAGAAAUGGUAGUUAUGCUAAGCUUAUAAAAAUGUACCUCUGCAAUUUACCUCUCCAAAUUACUUUAGGAUCAUCGACUGUCCGAGACCCCCAGGAGGUAUCCCGUCCACCAGAACCAGUGAGUUCGGAUCAGUCUGAUUCUCUGUGCUCUGAGUCAGAGAGGAACCAGCUUGAGGUAAGCUAUACCAAAACUGUUGAAAAGUACAUAUCUCCCAUUUAUAACAGUGCACUAAUCCAUUACAUUAUCUCACAGCAAAGUGUAACCUGUGUGUUUGCUUGUUUACAUCUCUG
This is a non-coding RNA of Salvelinus sp. IW2-2015, 1378 nucleotides long. The record is from RefSeq and is a predicted model, not a curated record. NCBI's taxonomy places the organism in Eukaryota, Metazoa, Chordata, Actinopteri, Salmoniformes, Salmonidae.